Molecule: long non-coding RNA, 399 nt
Organism: Diceros bicornis minor
Lineage: Eukaryota; Metazoa; Chordata; Mammalia; Perissodactyla; Rhinocerotidae
Exons: 3
Source: RefSeq, a predicted model, not a curated record
ACCUGGUGUUCUCUCUACAUAGAUGGUGGCCACAGUAGGCGGCUGAUGGAGGAGAUAUGAGACUAUGGCUGUUUCUCUUUAAGUCUUUGAAGACCAGUUGCUCUGUGGCUGGUUCAAUUCUCCUCAUCUUGUGUGAGAUAAAAGCAGCAGGAAGAAUACGGACCAUUGAAGAGAAGACUUCUUAGCGAUGAAGAGGCAGAUGCCCAGAGAGGGCAAGCAACUUACCUCAAGCCACACAGUGAGUUACAAGAUGGCGGAGCAUCCACAGCUAUUCUUCACACCACGAUAUCUGCAGCAUCUCCCAAAGCCCAGUCUUGCGACAUCUAGGUGCUUUUGAAGGCUCUUCUGGAGAAUGGAUACAAUGAAGGGAAAGGAUUCUGUAAUGGGAAGGAAGUGAAG